AUCUCCCAAUCAUGCGGACCUCCGAAACUCGGGCUUGGCUCAUUGGCCUCCUUGAGCACACCAUCGAUAGCUGGGCCGAGCUCAAGGCUCAAUU
Molecule: small nucleolar RNA, 94 nt
Filed under: Oryza punctata
Lineage: Eukaryota; Viridiplantae; Streptophyta; Magnoliopsida; Poales; Poaceae
Description: snoRNA snoZ256
Rfam family: Small nucleolar RNA Z256
About the family: Z256 is a member of the C/D class of snoRNA which contain the C (UGAUGA) and D (CUGA) box motifs. Most of the members of the box C/D family function in directing site-specific 2'-O-methylation of substrate RNAs.
Source: Rfam by way of RNAcentral